This 440-nucleotide ribosomal RNA is filed under the name uncultured bacterium. Its description in RNAcentral is "bacterial SSU rRNA". It matches the Rfam family "Bacterial small subunit ribosomal RNA", at positions 338 to 775 of the family's 1533-position model. The record is from RNAcentral.
CCUACGGGGGGCAGCAGUGAGGAAUAUUGGUCAAUGGACGAGAGUCUGAACCAGCCAAGUAGCGUGAAGGAUGACUGCCCUAUGGGUUGUAAACUUCUUUUAUAUGGGAAUAAAAUGUUCCACGUGUGGGAUUUUGUAUGUACCAUAUGAAUAAGGAUCGGCUAACUCCGUGCCAGCAGCCGCGGUAAUACGGAGGAUCCGAGCGUUAUCCGGAUUUAUUGGGUUUAAAGGGAGCGUAGGUGGAUUGUUAAGUCAGUUGUGAAAGUUUGCGGCUCAACCGUAAAAUUGCAGUUGAAACUGGCAGUCUUGAGUACAGUAGAGGUGGGCGGAAUUCGUGGUGUAGCGGUGAAAUGCUUAGAUAUCACGAAGAACUCCGAUUGCGAAGGCAGCUCACUGGACUGCAACUGACACUGAGGCUCGAAAGUGUGGGUAUCAAACAG